This 337-nucleotide ribosomal RNA is filed under the name uncultured bacterium. RNAcentral's name for it is "partial 16S ribosomal RNA". It matches the Rfam family "Bacterial small subunit ribosomal RNA", at positions 338 to 672 of the family's 1533-position model. The record is from RNAcentral.
CCUACGGGAGGCAGCAGUGAGGAAUAUUGGUCAAUGGACGCAAGUCUGAACCAGCCAUGCCGCGUGCAGGAAGACGGCUCUAUGAGUUGUAAACUGCUUUUGUACGAGGAUAAACGCAGAUACGUGUGUCUGUCUGCACGUAUCGUAUGAAUAAGGAUCGGCUAACUCCGUGCCAGCAGCCGCGGUAAUACGGAGGAUUCAAGCGUUAUCCGGAUUUAUUGGGUUUAAAGGGUGCGUAGGCGGGAGGAUAAGUUAGUUGUGAAAUCGUGAGGCUCAACUUCGAAAUUGCCUGUGAUACUGUUAGGCUAGAGAGUAGUUGCGGUAGGCGGAAUGUAUG